This is a long non-coding RNA of Rhopalosiphum padi (bird cherry-oat aphid), 340 nucleotides long. RefSeq lists it as uncharacterized. The transcript has 3 exons. Lineage: Eukaryota; Metazoa; Arthropoda; Insecta; Hemiptera; Aphididae. The record is from RefSeq and is a predicted model, not a curated record.
AUUUUUACAGCCAAUUUGUUAUGAAUUUGUUUUUCUAAAGAUUAGGCACGAAUGCAUAUGAUCCUAACUAUCGAAAUUCAAUAAAGAAAACACAAGAAUUGUAACAAGAAGAACACUAAAGAUUGGAUGACAAGUUAAAUCUAGUUUUCAGAACUUACACAAAUUGUAUGUGGACAGUUAUAUUCGUCUCCAGACUCUACCUCAGAGCCGGUUCCAGAUUCCCACUCUGCAGACUCAAUAGAAGUGACGUCUCUAACUCCAUCGAUAGGGUCGUAUACUACGGAACAUAACCCGAAAAACUCUGCUAUAGGGUAAACAUUUUUUAACCGACACGAUUUUA